UUUCCGUAGGUGAACCUGCGGAAGGAUCAUCAUUGGAUUCUCCAUUUUCAUUAUGAACCGUGUGAACUGUAUGUUUGAGGGUAUUUGGCAGGAGGGUUGGCAGGCAAGGGACUCGAGUCGAGUCGAGCCAAGCCGAGCCGUGUCUCACCCCCUCGGGGGUGAGCGCCUGCCACAUGCUCGCAUUUUAAACAAACUUUUUAACCGUAAAUAUUCAACUAAAAUAACAUUUAACUAAAAACAACUUUCAACAAUGGAUCUCUUGGCUCUC
RNAcentral lists this unclassified non-coding RNA (268 nucleotides) under soil metagenome. Its description in RNAcentral is "partial contains small subunit ribosomal RNA, internal transcribed spacer 1, and 5.8S ribosomal RNA". The record is from RNAcentral.